This 430-nucleotide ribosomal RNA is filed under the name bacterium. RNAcentral's name for it is "partial 16S ribosomal RNA". It matches the Rfam family "Bacterial small subunit ribosomal RNA", at positions 355 to 776 of the family's 1533-position model. The record is from RNAcentral.
UGGGGAAUAUUGGACAAUGGGCGGAAGCCUGAUCCAGCCAUGCCGCGUGUGUGAAGAAGGCCUUUUUGUUGUAAAGCACUUUAAGCGAGGAGGAGGCUACUUGGAUUAAUACUCUAGGAUAGUGGACGUUACUCGCAGAAUAAGCACCGGCUAACUCUGUGCCAGCAGCCGAGGUAAUACAGAGGGUGCGAGCGUUAAUCGGAUUUACUGGGCGUAAAGCGUGCGUAGGCGGCUUCUUAAGUCGGAUGUGAAAUCCCUGAGCUUAACUUAGGAAUUGCAUUCGAUACUGGGAAGCUAGAGUAUGGGAGAGGAUGGUAGAAUUCCAGGUGUAGCGGUGAAAUGCGUAGAGAUCUGGAGGAAUACCGAUGGCGAAGGCAGCCAUCUGGCCUAAUACUGACGCUGAGGUACGAAAGCAUGGGGAGCAAACAGG